AUGCGGAGGCUCCCGGUGGCGGCAGAGGCUCCCGGCAAAGGAGAGAGCACGCACAGCAGGAAAGGAGACGAGCAGCAGCUAGCGACGCACAUCAGGCUGCAGCUGCAAGUGAAUCCGGCACCGGAGCAGC
Panicum virgatum (switchgrass) is the source of this 130-nucleotide long non-coding RNA. RefSeq lists it as uncharacterized. The record is from RefSeq and is a predicted model, not a curated record. Lineage: Eukaryota; Viridiplantae; Streptophyta; Magnoliopsida; Poales; Poaceae. The transcript has 2 exons.